AAAAAUGAGGGUCUCACUUUGUUGCCCAGGCUGAUCUCGAACUCCUGGCCUGAAGUGAUCCUCCGGCUUUUGGCCUCCCAAACUGAUGGAAUUACCGUCUGGAACCACUGUGUUAAACUCUUAGAUUUGACUGCUACAAAUGUAUAAAUGUGGAACUCCAUGUAUCAGUGGGUUCUGCCCCACUUCUUACUCCCAGGAAUUCUCCGUCCCAGCCUGCUGUUCCUGUCCUGCACCAGGGAACAAACAUGUAUCCUGGAUGAAAAUAAACCAAGUCUAUUGAAAUUGCAACCCAAGACAUUCAGAAGAGACAAGGUUACAGUGAAUCUGGAAAGUUCGCACGUGUUUGGAUGUAUUGAUUGCCUUAACUGGCAGCCCUUUGCACUGCCAGCUUCUCCCUCAAUUACAUGAGGAACCACGAGGGGGCAAUGUCUUCCCGAGCAAUAAUAGGUGAGUGGUGGUCUUAGGACCCCGUGGUGGCCCAUGAUGCUAGCACUGUGUCUUUGGCCAUUCUUGCCUGUUAUGGAGCGUAGUCCACAGAAGGGCAUGGUCCUCUUGGAGCCUGGCAUGGGCCCAACAAAAAUGACAAUGUAGUCAAUAGUUCCACUCAGACUUCACUUGGGAGCAGGUGGACUACGUUGUGUGAUAUCAGGAUGCCUGGAGAACCUCUCCUAUCCCCACCCAGGGAAGCAUGGCUUAAUUCCAAAUAGAGAAUCUGGUUCCUUUGUCUUUAAGCCAA
Molecule: long non-coding RNA, 736 nt
Organism: Mandrillus leucophaeus (drill)
Lineage: Eukaryota; Metazoa; Chordata; Mammalia; Primates; Cercopithecidae
Exons: 2
Source: RefSeq, a predicted model, not a curated record